This 73-nucleotide transfer RNA is filed under the name Bos taurus (domestic cattle). It matches the Rfam family "tRNA". Rfam says of the family: Transfer RNA (tRNA) molecules are approximately 80 nucleotides in length. Their secondary structure includes four short double-helical elements and three loops (D, anti-codon, and T loops). RNAcentral also lists the same sequence under 1 other name. Lineage: Eukaryota; Metazoa; Chordata; Mammalia; Artiodactyla; Bovidae. The record is from Rfam by way of RNAcentral.
UCCCUGGUAGUCCAAGGGUUAGGACUCCAGGCUCUCACGGCUGACAGCACAGGUUCAAUCCCUGACCGGGGAG